UGCAUUAACACAAAUGUUCCCUGAAGCGUGCAACAAGCUGCACAGAGCCACUCUUCUCUCGCUGCUCUCAUCCUUUGGCUGCCUGGACGGCCGGAUCAUUUUUAUGAAGCUUCAUCAGAGUGUCGAGGCCAGACGAAGGAUCACGGAGCAGCAGGAGCGUCCUCGGUGCAGCCAUCUGUGAAACUGGGCGCUGGUUCUGCAUUUUGGACCCAGUCUGCACGUCCAGAGGACCUGAAAACUGUUGCCCAGACUGCAGCGGGACUCAUUGUUGCUCUCUCCUCUGUCUCCUCAACUCAUCGCCAGCUCCAGCAACAGGAAUGAUGUUCCGGCUGGGAAGACUGACACCGGGAUACUUCCGACUCCUGCAGAGGCAGAUGUCCGGUGAGGUUCAGGUGGCGCCGUACAGCAGCAUCAUGGAGCCUGUGGCCGUCACCAUGGCUACGUUGGGCGUGGCCGUAUCUGUGUACAGCGCCAGGCAGAUGACGGCGAGCGGCGAGAAACGCCACUGAGAAGCUCUUUGGGAAUGAUGGAGACGGUUUGUGUUGGAGGCUGAGAGGCUUCAGGUCUGUGGAAGGAAAAUGAAAGUUUGUUAAAAGGAAAAUUUGGUCCGAGACGAAAGAGCAAGUUAGAGACGUGAUGCGGGCUUUUCUGUUCCAGCACUAGUAAUUUCAUUAGAAAUAGGACUGAUCCACUGCAGGAAUGCCUCAUGCCACCAUCCUCAGGACGCAGACACAGGACUGUAAGGUGCAGGAAACCAGAGGCUGGUCUGUGGAAAAGAGUUUCCCCAUUAGGUCACAGAAGUCUAGAGUCUAGAAAAUCUGUAGAUUUUACAUGAGGCUAUUAUUGUUAUUAUUGUUGGUACUUGUUGUACUACAAAAAUUAUUCAUUUUAAUUCUGAUAUUAAUCACAAAUGUUUGUCAUUUUAUCAUUUCAUCGCAUUGUGCCACUGCAGUAUUUGAGUUUUGUCGUACAUCCUGACCCAGCCACACUUCUGACUUUAAAUUAUUCACAAGAAAUGUGCAGAAAAAGACUCUUUUCACAGUGAGAUGUCAGUUAACUGUAUUUAAAGUAUGCACGCUGUGAAAUACUUUGCUUAACACAAAUUAAACAUAAAUUCCAGUA
This is a long non-coding RNA of Fundulus heteroclitus (mummichog), 1122 nucleotides long. RefSeq lists it as uncharacterized. Lineage: Eukaryota; Metazoa; Chordata; Actinopteri; Cyprinodontiformes; Fundulidae. The transcript is spliced from 3 exons. The record is from RefSeq and is a predicted model, not a curated record.